RNAcentral lists this non-coding RNA (24 nucleotides) under Arabidopsis thaliana (thale cress). Lineage: Eukaryota; Viridiplantae; Streptophyta; Magnoliopsida; Brassicales; Brassicaceae. The record is from RNAcentral.
UAUAGGAUCAAGAGUCUGGGAACU